RNAcentral lists this ribosomal RNA (460 nucleotides) under uncultured bacterium. RNAcentral describes it as "partial 16S ribosomal RNA". It matches the Rfam family "Bacterial small subunit ribosomal RNA", at positions 338 to 795 of the family's 1533-position model. The record is from RNAcentral.
CCUACGGGCGGCAGCAGUGAGGAAUAUUGGUCAAUGGACGAGAGUCUGAACCAGCCAAGUAGCGUGAAGGAUGACUGCCCUAUGGGUUGUAAACUUCUUUUAUAUGGGAAUAAAAUGUUCCACGUGUGGGAUUUUGUAUGUACCAUAUGAAUAAGGAUCGGCUAACUCCGUGCCAGCAGCCGCGGUAAUACGGAGGAUCCGAGCGUUAUCCGGAUUUAUUGGGUUUAAAGGGAGCGUAGGUGGAUUGUUAAGUCAGUUGUGAAAGUUUGCGGCUCAACCGUAAAAUUGCAGUUGAAACUGGCAGUCUUGAGUACAGUAGAGGUGGGCGGAAUUCGUGGUGUAGCGGUGAAAUGCUUAGAGAUCACGAAGAACUCCGAUUGCGAAGGCAGUUCACUGGACUGCAACUGACACUGAGGCUCGAAAGUGUGGGUAUCAAACAGGAUUAGAUACCCCAGUAGUC